AGAGUUUGAUCCUGGCUCAGGAUGAACGCUAGCGGCAGGCUUAACACAUGCAAGUCGAGGGGUAUAAUUAGCUUGCUAAUUAGAGACCGGCGCACGGGUGCGUAACGCGUAUGCAAUCUACCUUUUACAGCGGGAUAGCCCAGAGAAAUUUGGAUUAAUACCACAUAGUAUUAUGAAAUGGCAUCAUUUUAUAAUUAAAGAUUUAUCGGUAAAAGAUGAGCAUGCGUCCCAUUAGCUAGUUGGUAUGGUAACGGCAUACCAAGGCAACGAUGGGUAGGGGUCCUGAGAGGGAGAUCCCCCACACUGGUACUGAGACGCGGACCAGACUCCUACGGGAGGCAGCAGUGAGGAAUAUUGGACAAUGGGCGCAAGCCUGAUCCAGCCAUGCCGCGUGCAGGAUUAAGGUCUUAUGGAUUGUAAACUGCUUUUAUACAAAAAGAAACGCUACUUCGUGAAGUAUUUUGACGGUAUCGUAAGAAUAAUGAUCGGCUAACUCCGUGCCAGCAGCCGCGGUAAUACGGAGGAUCCAAGCGUUAUCCGGAAUCAUUGGGUUUAAAGGGUCCGUAUGCGGUUUGGUAAGUCGGUGGUGAAAUCCCAUCGCUCAACGGUGGAACUGCCAUUGAUACUGCUACACUUGAAUUAUUAAGAAGUAACUAAAAAUAUGUAGUGUU
This 671-nucleotide ribosomal RNA is filed under the name uncultured bacterium. RNAcentral's name for it is "bacterial SSU rRNA". It matches the Rfam family "Bacterial small subunit ribosomal RNA", at positions 8 to 682 of the family's 1533-position model. The record is from RNAcentral.